This 743-nucleotide ribosomal RNA is filed under the name uncultured bacterium. RNAcentral describes it as "bacterial SSU rRNA". It matches the Rfam family "Bacterial small subunit ribosomal RNA", at positions 131 to 877 of the family's 1533-position model. The record is from RNAcentral.
CAAAAGUCGAGGAUAGCCCACCGAAAGGUGGAGUAAUCCUGGAUGUGACCUUCGGGUUAAAGACGAAAGUCGCUUUUGGAUGAGCCCGCGUCCUAUCAGGUUGUUGGCAGGGUAAAUGCCUACCAAGCCUAUGACGGGUAGCUGGUCUGAGAGGAUGACCAGCCAGAAUGGGACUGAGACACGGCCCAUACUCCUACGGGAGGCAGCAAUCAGGAAUUUUGCGCAAUGGACGAAAGUCUGACGCAGCGACGCCGCGUGAAGGAUGAAGGCCUUCGGGUUGUAAACUUCUUUUAUGAGGGAACAAGUUCUGAGUGUACCUCAUGAAUAAGGUUCUGCAAACUACGUGCCAGAAGCAUCGGUGAUACGUAGGAACCAAACAUUAUCCGGAUUUACUGGGCGUAAAGAGAUGCGUAGGCGUCUUGGUAAGUUCUAUGUUAAAUCUUCGGGCUUAACCCGGAAACCGCAUGGAAAACUACCUUGAUUGAGUCAGCUAGAGGAAGACGGAAUUCCCGGUGUAGCAGUGAAAUGCGUUGAUAUCGGGAAGAACACCAAUGGCGAAGGCAGUCUUCUGGGGCUUGACUGACGCUAAGGCUCGAAAGCGUGGGGAGCAAAACGGAUUAGAUACCCGUGUAGUCCACGCCCUAAACUAUCUCCGCUAAUUGUCGGGACUGGCUUAGUUUUUUCUUCGGAAAGGAUUGAGCAGUUUCGGUGAUGUAGUUAACGCGUUAAGCGGAGCGCCUGGG